AUUUGUAUUGGUAUUUGCUAAUCAAAUGAAUAGUCAAAUAGCAAUGCUAACGAGGCCCGACAACUGUACAAGUGUAAAAUAUACUGUAUAAAGAAACCCAAGAAGUGGUUUUUCUUUAUCAUCUGUCACUCAAAAUAUGUUGUAUAUCUUUAUUGCGUGUAGCAACAACGACACAAUAAAGAUAUAUUACAACUCUAGUAACUCUGGCCUUGUUGUUUACAUAAGGUAUAAGUUUUACCUUAUCUAAAAAUCACUUGUUUUACCCUGACUGGCACUUAAAAUAGCAAGUGCUGAUCAUGGUUCAACCUGCUGCAUAACGAUUUUUCGCCCGGGCGCGUUAGACUGUCGAAAAUAGGGAAAACGUUCAUUGCUAAACACGGGUGCGGAGUUUUCCCUUUCAGGCUAACUCUUCUUUUGUCAGCACUGGCUUACCUGAUGCUGUAGCAGAUGCCUUUCACGUUUGCGCUGGGUUUGAGUGGUUGGUUUACGGUCUUAAAGCACUUCACGCCUUGAAAUGUCUACAAACGAAAAGCUUUUAAAACAAAAGAUGACAGGAGGCAACAAAGAAUUGGAACUUUGACUCAUGCAUGAGCUGCUCUUCCUUUGGGUCUAAAGUACAACCAAACUAAAGGGUAUCGGUUCUAUUAAGUAUGAAAGAAUGAAGACGUUUUCGGAGCCUGUGUUGCUUAGCUUCCUUUAUUUGCUGGUUGUCUCUCAGUCUAGCCACUGGUCAGAGUAGCUUCGCCAUCUUGUUUGACGCAGGAUCCAGCGGCCUACAAGUUCCUUACCAGCGAUCCUUCCCUCCAACCUUCUGACGUUGUCCAGAUUGAUACCUCACCACAUAAAAUGAAGCCUGGAAUUUCUGACCUUUCUGUUGACCCGACUUAAGUUGAAGCUUACAUGAAUCCUCUACUUGGAUCUACUAAGCUAACCAUCCUAGAGGACAAACACGUAUCCACCCCGAUAUUUUUGUUAGCAACAGCAGGCAUGAGACGCUUGCCUGAAGAUCAGGCAAAUGUUAUUUUAGGCGAGGUUAGGAAACUGUUAACGACAAAGAGAAAUGUCCAUUUCUGUUUCAGAACGAUGAUAAUGGCUAGAAUCACCGCUGGUCAGGUCGAAGGCAUUUAUGGUUGGGUUACAGUAACUUUUAUUUUGGGUGUUUUCGCUUUAAAAGAUUCUGCAUCGUAUGGUAGUUAAGAAAUGGAAGGAGCAUCCUACCAAAAUUCUCAGUAAAGUGACAAAGUAACCCUGUUGUUAUUGUUUUUGACGUGGCUGGGAAAAAAUAAGGGGGGUUUUUAAGUUAGAUAUAAUUACCUUGGCUACGGAAUAGACCAAGUUUUGGCUUUUUAUCGUGUUUAACAGAUAUAGGCGCCGUUUGUUCUGACAAAUUCUUCGUACAAUAGAUAAUGAGAAGCUUCAAAUGCAUCACCUUGAGAGCCAGAAUAUGUCUUAAGAAUAA
Molecule: long non-coding RNA, 1459 nt
Organism: Pocillopora damicornis (cauliflower coral)
Lineage: Eukaryota; Metazoa; Cnidaria; Anthozoa; Scleractinia; Pocilloporidae
Source: RefSeq, a predicted model, not a curated record